GCUAGGUGUGGUGGCUUGCACCUGUAGUCCCAGCUACUCAGGAGGCUGAGGUAGGAGGAUCACUUGAGCCCAGGAGUUCAAGUCUGCAGUGAGCUAUGAUUGUGCCACUGUACUCCAGCUUGGGUAACAUAGUGAGACCCUGUCUCAA
Molecule: non-coding RNA, 148 nt
Organism: Gorilla gorilla gorilla (western lowland gorilla)
Lineage: Eukaryota; Metazoa; Chordata; Mammalia; Primates; Hominidae
Rfam family: Metazoan signal recognition particle RNA
About the family: The signal recognition particle (SRP) is a universally conserved ribonucleoprotein. It is involved in the co-translational targeting of proteins to membranes.
Source: Rfam